Non-coding RNA from Lepisosteus oculatus (spotted gar), 554 nucleotides. The record is from the annotation of a RefSeq genome assembly. NCBI's taxonomy places the organism in Eukaryota, Metazoa, Chordata, Actinopteri, Semionotiformes, Lepisosteidae.
UGUGGUAGUAAGUCUCACCCGGUUGGAACCAUGCUGCAGGGUUUAAGCAUUGCUAUCAUUUCCUUUUUACUGGUGCCAGUUACAUCGUUUUCUUUGGAACAGGAUAAAGCAACACUUACAAAAGGCUCUGGCAAAACUGCUCGUAUCGCCUGCAAAUACAAAGGCUCAGGCUUUGACUCUGCUAUUAUCCACUGGUACCAGAAAAAAGAAAACGAAGCGAUGAGACGGAUUCUUUAUAUCCAAAGUGUUGGUGGUACACCUACUUAUGACAAUGUCAACGACAAAGAAGUUUUCAAAGCUAGCAAAAACAGCAACUCUGAGAGCGAACUCAUGAUAGUUGGUGCACAGAGCAGCCAUUCUGCCACCUAUUACUGUGCCUGCUGGGACACCCACAGUGAAAAAUGUGCCGUAGACUGUCUGUACAAAAACUCCAGCCUGACUCUCAGAGGCAGUACUUUUAAUAAGUUCUAGAAACAUCAAUACUUUUUUUCCAGAAAAUAUUAUUACAUGAAUGUUAUACUAUUGUUGCAGAUGAUAAAGGCCAAUGCAAUUCA